Molecule: transfer RNA, 72 nt
Filed under: Ictidomys tridecemlineatus (thirteen-lined ground squirrel)
Lineage: Eukaryota; Metazoa; Chordata; Mammalia; Rodentia; Sciuridae
Description: Spermophilus tridecemlineatus (thirteen-lined ground squirrel) tRNA
Rfam family: tRNA
About the family: Transfer RNA (tRNA) molecules are approximately 80 nucleotides in length. Their secondary structure includes four short double-helical elements and three loops (D, anti-codon, and T loops).
Source: Rfam by way of RNAcentral
AGGGGUGUAGCUCAGCGGCAGAGUGUGUGCUUGGUAUGUACAAAACACUGGGUUCAAUCCUCAGCAUACAUU